CUGUUAGAUAAAACGACCGUGAACCACAACACUAAGAAGUUCCGCUUUGCCCUGCCCACCGCCCACCACGUUUCUGGGGCUGCCUGUGGGCAAACAUGUCUACCUCUCUGCCCGCAUCGAUGGCAGUCUUGUCAUCAGGCCCUACACUCCCCAUCACCAGGGAUGAGGACCAAGGCUACGUGGAUCUUGUCAUCAAGGAAAGUUCAGCAAUCAGCCCAACAAGAAAUCUCCGCCGGAACCCCGAGUGGCCAGGAAACUGGGAAUGAUUGCCAGAGGCACAGGGAUCACCCCGAUGCUGCAACUGAUUUGGGCCAUCCUGAAAGACCCAGAAGAUCCAACCCAGUGCUUUCUGCUUUUUGCCAACCAGGCUGCUUUGCUUUUCUCAGUCCCAGGACUUCAGAGUUACUGUGUGGGGAGGGCUGAGGAGUGUGGUACCAGCAGGCAGAACUGGCCCAGUUCCUGUUCCAGCCUCUGCCCAAGUCCCCCUGCAAGGUGGAGGACUCUCUACCGCAAUACAGAAGACAGAGCAUCAAGCCAAAUCCUUUCCCUGUCCUGAGGAGAGGAAAAAAGAAAACACUGGUUUCUGCAGAAGCCGCCUAUGUGGCUACCCCCAUAGCCAUGUUCCAGGCAGCCAUGACUCUUCUAAAUGAUGCCUCUGAUCUUCCUAAGGUAGGUGGAAUCUUCACUCCUGGAGCAGCCUUCUGCAGAACAAAGUGAACAAAGUUGAUCAAAAGACUCAACCAAUGUGGUCUUGAAUUUAGCGUCAUUAGCAGCUUUGAAGUUUAAACAGGUGAAUAUUUAACUGAAGUCAUAAAGUGCAUGAAUUACAAGCUUUUUAAUUUGGUAUUUGAAAUUCUGUAAGUCUCCUUGACUCUAUGUGGAAGAGAUUGUCAAUCUAAAAUAAGUGCGCCAUAAAAGCAGGAAAUUGUACUAGCUUACCCUAAAUUUCAGAUCUUAGCUGAUAUGUGAUUUGGUUGCUUAUGAGAGAAAACUAGUAUUUGACUGACUUUUUCAUUGAAGAAUUCAUGGUCAGUUUCUAUAAGGAAGCUGGUAGAUCCAAGGGUGGGAUGGGUGGCUGUGUGUUGCUGACACAUCCCUUGAUGAAACACCCAGUUUGUGGUCAUAUCAGGCAGUAACUGCUGUUUUUCUUGCUGUACUAAUGAAUGGGAUCUCACUUUCCUAUGAGUUUGACUGCAAAGUGUAGGCCUUUGCUAUUUUAGCCUAGUUUUUCACCUAUAUAUGCUGACUGAUUUUGGACUCUUACCGAAGUUGAAUAAUAAAGGAUUAGCAAUUAAA
Long non-coding RNA from Phacochoerus africanus (Common warthog), 1296 nucleotides. RefSeq lists it as uncharacterized. NCBI's taxonomy places the organism in Eukaryota, Metazoa, Chordata, Mammalia, Artiodactyla, Suidae. The transcript is spliced from 7 exons. The record is from RefSeq and is a predicted model, not a curated record.